Molecule: long non-coding RNA, 331 nt
Filed under: Elaeis guineensis (African oil palm)
Lineage: Eukaryota; Viridiplantae; Streptophyta; Magnoliopsida; Arecales; Arecaceae
Description: long non-coding RNA (EGUI_LNC020654)
Source: RNAcentral
UUAGAGGUAGAUUGGCACUAUCAAUUUUGUUGAAUUUAGAUUUAUUUUUAUUAUUUUUAGUGAAACUUCAUUUGAUGCAAGACAUUUGAAUUUGGAUAUUGUUUGGUUUGGUUAAUAAAUUUAAAUUUUUUAUUAAUACCACUAUAACGUAUUGAUAUCUGUUUAAAAUACUUUGCAUGUUUGUGGGGAGAGAUCUUCAUAAAUACGUGGUGGUUGCCAUGAUCUCGACUUAAAAUCUUGGGUCGAAGGCAUGAUAAUAUUGAUACAAGGAAAGUUUUCAUUUGACUGAAUAGCAGCUUGUGGCAUUUCCUACGAUAAAAUCCUUAAACAU